Molecule: ribosomal RNA, 1241 nt
Filed under: metagenome
Description: bacterial LSU rRNA
Rfam family: Bacterial large subunit ribosomal RNA
Source: RNAcentral
UGAAUACGAGAUGCUACGGCGUCGAAGCAGUGUAUGUCAUACUUCCAAGAAAAGCUCGCUAUGUCAUAAACAAUUAAUGCCUGUACCAUAACCGACACAGGUGGGUAGGUAGAGUAUACUAAGGGGCGCGAGAUAACUCUCUCUAAGGAACUCGGCAAAAUGACUCCGUAACUUCGGGAGAAGGAGUACCUUAUUUAUAAGGUUGCAAUAACAAGAUCCAAGCAACUGUUUACCAAAAACACAGGUCUCCGCUAAGUCGUAAGACGAUGUAUGGGGGCUGACGCCUGCCCAGUGCCAGAAGGUUAAAGAAGUUGGUUAGCAUUCGCGAAGCUGAUGACUGAAGCCCUGGUGAACGGCGGCCGUAACUAUAACGGUCCUAAGGUAGCGAAAUUCCUUGUCGGGUAAGUUCCGACCCGCACGAAAGGCGUAAUGAUUUGGAUACUGUCUCGGAGAGGGGCUCGGUGAAAUAGACUUGUCUGUGAAGAUGCGGACUACCUGCACCAGGACAGAAAGACCCUAUGAAGCUUUACUGUAACUUGAGAUUGAAAUUGGACUUUAUUUGUGCAGUAUAGGUGGGAGGCGUUGAAGAAAUUCUUGCGGGAAUUUUGGAGCCAUCAGUGAGAUACCACCCCUAUAAUGUUAGAUUUCUAACUUUGUAUCAUUAUCUGGUCAAAGAACAGUUUCAGGCGGGCAGUUUGACUGGGGCGGUCGCCUCCCAAAUGGUAACGGAGGCGUACAAAGGUUUCCUCUGAACGGGUAGAAAUCGUAUCUAGAGUAUAAAGGCAUAAGGAAGCUUGACUGUGAGACCUACAAGUCGAGCAGGGACGAAAGUCGGUCUUAGUGAUCUGACGGUGCUGAGUGGAAAGGCCGUCACUCAACGGAUAAAAGUUACUCUAGGAUAACAGGCUGAUCUCCCCCAAGAGUUCACAUCGACGGGGAGGUUUGGCACCUCGAUGUCGGCUCAUCGCAUCCUGGGGCGGUAGUACGUCCCAAGGGUUGGGCUGUUCGCCCAUGAAAGCGGUACGCGAGCUGGGUUCAGAACGUCGUGAGACAGUUCGGUCCAUAUCCGGUGUAGGCGUUAGAAUAUUGAGAGGAGCCUUCUUUAGUACGAGAGGACCGAGAAGGACAUACCUCUGGUGUACCAGUUAUCGUGCCAACGGUAAACGCUGGGUAGCUAUGUAUGGAGUGGAUAACCGCUGAAAGCAUCUAAGUGGGAAGCCCACCUCAAGAUAAGUAUUCCC